RNAcentral lists this small nuclear RNA (104 nucleotides) under Nannospalax galili (Upper Galilee mountains blind mole rat). The record is from RNAcentral. Lineage: Eukaryota; Metazoa; Chordata; Mammalia; Rodentia; Spalacidae.
GUGCUCGCUUCGGCAGCACAUAUACUAAAAUUGGAAAGAUACAGAGAUUAGCAUGGCCCCUGCACAAGGAUGACACACAAAUUUGUGAAGCGUUCCAUAUUUUG